RNAcentral lists this ribosomal RNA (522 nucleotides) under uncultured bacterium. RNAcentral's name for it is "bacterial SSU rRNA". It matches the Rfam family "Bacterial small subunit ribosomal RNA", at positions 501 to 1023 of the family's 1533-position model. The record is from RNAcentral.
CUACGUGCCAGCAGCCGCGGUAAUACGGAGGGUGCGAGCGUUAAUCGGAAUAACUGGGCGUAAAGGGCACGCAGGCGGUUAUUUAAGUGAGGUGUGAAAGCCCCGGGCUUAACCUGGGAAUUGCAUUUCAGACUGGGUAACUAGAGUACUUUAGGGAGGGGUAGAAUUCCACGUGUAGCGGUGAAAUGCGUAGAGAUGUGGAGGAAUACCGAAGGCGAAGGCAGCCCCUUGGGAAUGUACUGACGCUCAUGUACGAAAGCGUGGGGAGCAAACAGGAUUAGAUACCCUGGUAGUCCACGCUGUAAACGCUGUCGAUUUGGGGAUUGAGCUUUAAGCUUGGUGCCCGUAGCUAACGUGAUAAAUCGACCGCCUGGGGAGUACGGCCGCAAGGUUAAAACUCAAAUGAAUUGACGGGGGCCCGCACAAGCGGUGGAGCAUGUGGUUUAAUUCGAUGCAACGCGAAGAACCUUACCUACUCUUGACAUCCAUGGAAUCCUGUAGAGAUACGGGAGUGCUUCGGGA